UGGGGAAUCUUAGACAAUGGGGGAAACCCUGAUCUAGCCAUGCCGCGUGAGCGAUGAAGGCCUUAGGGUUGUAAAGCUCUUUCAGCUGGGAAGAUAAUGACGGUACCAGCAGAAGAAGCCCCGGCUAACUCCGUGCCAGCAGCCGCGGUAAUACGGAGGGGGCUAGCGUUGUUCGGAAUUACUGGGCGUAAAGCGCACGUAGGCGGAUCGGAAAGUUGGGGGUGAAAUCCCGGGGCUCAACCCCGGAACU
This 250-nucleotide ribosomal RNA is filed under the name uncultured bacterium. Its description in RNAcentral is "partial 16S ribosomal RNA". It matches the Rfam family "Bacterial small subunit ribosomal RNA", at positions 355 to 622 of the family's 1533-position model. The record is from RNAcentral.